Molecule: ribosomal RNA, 492 nt
Filed under: uncultured bacterium
Lineage: Bacteria
Description: partial 16S ribosomal RNA
Rfam family: Bacterial small subunit ribosomal RNA
Source: RNAcentral
AGUGAACGCUGGCGGUAGACCUAACACAUGCAAGUCGAACGGCAGCACAGUAAGAGCUUGCUCUUACGGGUGGCGAGUGGCGGACGGGUGAGGAAUACAUCGGAAUCUACUUUUUCGUGGGGGAUAACGUAGGGAAACUUACGCUAAUACCGCAUACGACCUACGGGUGAAAGCAGGGGAUCUUCGGACCUUGCGCGAUUGAAUGAGCCGAUGUCGGAUUAGCUAGUUGGCGGGGUAAAGGCCCACCAAGGCGACGAUCCGUAGCUGGUCUGAGAGGAUGAUCAGCCACACUGGAACUGAGACACGGUCCAGACUCCUACGGGAGGCAGCAGUGGGGAAUAUUGGACAAUGGGCGCAAGCCUGAUCCAGCCAUACCACGUGGGUGAAGAAGGCCUUCGGGUUGUAAAGCCCUUUUGUUGGGAAAGAAAAGCAGCAGGUUAAUACCCCGCUGUUCUGACGGUACCCAAAGAAUAAGCACCGGCUAACUUCGUG